AGAGCAAGUGGUGGAUGCCUUGGCUAGUAGAGGCGAUGAAAGACGUGCCAGGCUGCGAUAAGUCUCGGGGAGCCGUCAAGGGGCUUUGAUCCGGGAAUUUCUGAAUGGGGCAACCCAGUUAAGCGCGAGCUUAACUACCUAAUAUGGAGCGAACGAGGGGAAUUGAAACAUCUUAGUACCCUCAGGAAAAGAAAUCAAAAGAGAUUACGCUAGUAGCGGCGAGCGAACGCGUAAGAGGGCAAACCACUAGUUUACUAGUGGGGUUGUAGGACUGCAAUAUAGACUAAACUUAGCUAAUAGAACAACCUGGAAAGGUUAGGCACAGAGGGUGAUACCCCCGUAUAUGAAAGCUUUGUUUUACUUAGCAGUAUCCUGAGUAGGGCGGAACACGUGAUAUUCUGUCUGAAGCUGGGUAGACCACUAUCCAACCCUAAAUACUACUACUAGACCGAUAGUGCACAAGUACCGUGAGGGAAAGGUGAAAAGAACUGAGGUGAUCAGAGUGAAAUAGAACCUGAAACCAUUUGCUUACAAUCAUUCAGAGCCCUAUGAUUUAUCAGGGUGAUGGACUGCCUUUUGCAUAAUGAGCCUGCGAGUUGUGAUGUCUGGCGAGGUUAAGGAAACCCGGAGCCGUAGCGAAAGCGAGUCUUAAUAGGGCGUUUAGUCAGACGUUGCAGACCCGAAACGAUGUGAUCUAUCCAUGAGCAGGUUGAAACCGGUGUAAGAGCCGGUGGAGGACCGAACCCGCUAGCGUUGAAAAGCUAUGGGAUGACUUGUGGAUAGGGGUGAAAGGCCAAUCAAACAUCGUGAUAGCUGGUUCUCUCCGAAAUAUAUUUAGGUAUAGCGUCAUGUAGUAACACUAGGGGGUAGAGCACUGAAUGGGCUAGGGCAUACACCAAUGUACCAAACCCUAUCAAACUCCGAAUACCUAGUGUGUAAUCAUGGCAGUCAGGCGGCGAGUGAUAAAAUCCGUCGUCGAGAGGGGAACAACCCAGACUAACAGCUAAGGUCCCUAAAUCUCAUUUAAGUGGAAAACGAUGUGGAGUUACUUAAACAACCAGGAGGUUGGCUUAGAAGCAGCCAUCCUUUAAAGAAAGCGUAAUAGCUCACUGGUCUAGUGAUUCUGCGCGGAAAAUAUAACGGGGCUAAAAUGAGUACCGAAGCUUUAGACUUAGUUUUACUAAGUGGUAGGAGAGCGUUGUAUUUGCGUUGAAGGUAUACCGGUAAGGAGUGCUGGAGCGAAUACAAGUGAGCAUGCAGGCAUGAGUAGCGAUAAUUGGGGUGAGAAUCCCCAACGCCGUAAACCCAAGGUUUCCUACGCGAUGCUCGUCAUCGUAGGGUUAGCCGGGUCCUAAGCAAAGUCCGAAAGGGGUAUGCGAUGGAAAAUUGGUUAAUAUUCCAAUGCCAACUAUAAUGUGCGAUGGAAGGACGCUUAGAGUUAGAGGAGCCAGCGGAUGGUAGUGCUGGUCGAAAGGUGCAGGUUGGAGUUCAGGCAAAUCCGAACUCCUUUAAGCCGAGGCCUUAUAGGUGCGUGAAGUUCUUCGGAAUGAAUCGUAAAUCCUUGAUACUGUCGAGCCAAGAAAAGUUUCUAAGUUUAGUUAUAGUUGCCCGUACCGUAAACCGACACAGGUGGGUGGGAUGAGUAUUCUAAGGCGCGUGGAAGAACUCUCUUCAAGGAACUCUGCAAAAUAGCACCGUAUCUUCGGUAUAAGGUGUGCCUAACUUUGUGAAGGAUUUACUCCGUAAGCAUUGAAGGUUACAACAAAGAGUCCCUCCCGACUGUUUACCAAAAACACAGCACUCUGCUAACUCGUAAGAGGAUGUAUAGGGUGUGACGCCUGCCCGGUGCUCGAAGGUUAAUUGAUGACGUUAGCUCUGCGAAGCGUUUGAUCGAAGCCCGAGUAAACGGCGGCCGUAACUAUAACGGUCCUAAGGUAGCGAAAUUCCUUGUCGAUUAAAUAUCGACCUGCAUGAAUGGCGUAACGAGAUGGGAGCUGUCUCGAAGAGGGAUCCAGUGAAAUUGUAGUGGAGGUGAAAAUUCCUCCUACCCGCGGCAAGACGGAAAGACCCCGUGGACCUUUACUACAGCUUGACACUGCUAUUGGGAUAAAAAUGUGCAGGAUAGGCGGGAGGCUUUGAUCCAUAGACGCCAGUUUAUGGUGAGCCAUUGUUGAGAUACCGCUCUUUUUUAUUCUGAUAGCUAACUAGCUUGAGUUAUCCUCAAGUAGGACAAUGUCUGGUGGGUAGUUUGACUGGGGCGGUCGCCUCCCAAAAUGUAACGGAGGCUUACAAAGGUUGGCUCAGAACGGUUGGAAAUCGUUCGUAGAGUAUAAAGGCAUAAGCCAGCUUAACUGCGAGACAUACACGUCAAGCAGAGACGAAAGUCGGUCUUAGUGAUCCGGUGGUUCUGUGUGGAAGGGCCAUCGCUCAAAGGAUAAAAGGUACCCCGGGGAUAACAGGCUGAUCUCCCCCAAGAGCUCACAUCGACGGGGAGGUUUGGCACCUCGAUGUCGGCUCAUCGCAUCCUGGGGCU
RNAcentral lists this ribosomal RNA (2533 nucleotides) under human oral metagenome. RNAcentral describes it as "bacterial LSU rRNA". It matches the Rfam family "Bacterial large subunit ribosomal RNA", at positions 14 to 2554 of the family's 2925-position model. The record is from RNAcentral.